Long non-coding RNA from Solea solea (common sole), 1172 nucleotides. RefSeq lists it as uncharacterized. The record is from RefSeq and is a predicted model, not a curated record. The transcript has 7 exons. Lineage: Eukaryota; Metazoa; Chordata; Actinopteri; Pleuronectiformes; Soleidae.
GAAAGAGGUGGAGCGGAGUGGAGGCGUGCUUUGGCAGCGGCGCGUUUUCUAUCACACAUCUUUCAUACCCGCUGCUGGCACAGCCAUCAGGAGCAACGUGGCUUUAACUGUCCCUUGCCCAAGGACACAUCGGCAUGUAGACUAGCGGAGCCAGGAAUCGAUCCCACAACCUUCAAGUUGAAAGAUGACUCACUCUACCACUGAGUUACAGCCGGCCCGUUGGCACAUGCGGUCGGCCUGAGUGGGUAACAUUCCAAUCCCCACAGUGGUGGUGUCUCUUGUGGUGUUUUCUUUUGGAUUCCUCCCCUUUUGAUUUCCUGCCACCCUGUAAAUAUGCAGCAUAAAGGAGGACAGUCCAUUCAUGUGAGAGGACGGGCGAAAGCUCCUGUGAUGAAUUGGAAUGAAAGGCAAUGCAGACUGACAGCUCGGAGUCAAUGAGCAGCCAGUGCGAGGUGAUUCUUCAAGCAGGCGAAACCAGGACCCUCUUGGGGGAAACAAGAAAAGGCAAGGCUGUCAGGCUGCUCAUUGAGGAGGGAGCCUACAAACAUGAGAAAAUGUGAAGCAGAGCCUGCAGCAACCAGACUCCUCUCCUGUCCAAUUUGGGUUCUGGAGGUGGGCACCAUCUCUGCAAAUGAAGUUUGACUAAUGUGUGUGUUUCUAUCCGCCAUGACUCCGAACCUGCAAAAAUAAGUUCUUUCUACCAGCUCUGCUUUCAUGAGAAGCAUAACAAAUAGAGGGCUCUGGUCUUCGGGGGCAUGAAGAGGAAUCAGGUGUGCUGUAAGGAUGUGGACUUGUGGGCUCCAGCGGGUUUAAGCCCAGGGGCCACCGGCAGAGGAGAGCUGCGAUAAGUCUGGCCUGAAGAAAGUAUGCACUCACGUGGGAUGAGCAAGAGGAAGACAAUUGGCAACAUUGUUUUCUCCAGCCUGCUGUUGCAUCACAUACACAUUCCCAAUGCACACUUCAUGGAAACGUCUGUUAAACUUUAAUAUUCAUACUGCCUUUCAAAAUGUUAAUGGCAUAAUAUCAAACACUUCCGCAGUAAAUAUCUAAAAUGACAAUACACUUUGUAUUAGUGUUGUAAAAUGUAGUAUUCUUACAUGAGCCAAAAGUUUCCAAAACUCAUUAAAUAGAUAUCCCCCAUUCCAUAUUGAAGGCCUUUUUUCUUUUUUUUU